AUGGUGUUCUUCGACGUGACCAUCGGCGGCGCCCCCGCAGGCCGCAUCGUGAUGGAGCUCUUCGCCAAGGACGUGCCCAAGACGGCGGAGAACUUCCGCGCUCUCUGCACCGGCGAGAAGGGCAUCGGCAAGAGCGGCGAGCCGCUGCACUACAAGGGCAGCGCGUUCCACCGCGUCAUCCCCGACUUCGUGAUCCAGGGCGGGGACUUCACCAGGGGCAACGGCACCGGCGGCGAGUCCAUCUACGGCGGCAAGUUCUCCGACGAGAAUUUCAUCCGCAAGCACAUCAAGCCCGGGAUGGUCUCCAUGGCCAACGCGGGCCCCGACACCAACGGCUCUAAUUUCUUCAUCUGCACCGUCCCCUGCGCGUUGCUCGACGGCAAGCACGUAGUCUUCGGCGAGGUCGUCGAGGGCAUGGACGUCCUCAAGAACAUCGAGAAGGUGGGCUCCCGCAGUGGCAUGUGCGCCAAGUCCGUCAUCAUCGCCGACAUCGGCCAGCUCUGA
Molecule: ribosomal RNA, 504 nt
Filed under: Triticum aestivum (bread wheat)
Lineage: Eukaryota; Viridiplantae; Streptophyta; Magnoliopsida; Poales; Poaceae
Description: partial small subunit ribosomal RNA
Source: RNAcentral